RNAcentral lists this unclassified non-coding RNA (4408 nucleotides) under Leishmania donovani. Its description in RNAcentral is "gene:LdHU3.33.1760(CDS-product:guanylate_kinase_p utative)". Lineage: Eukaryota; Euglenozoa; Kinetoplastea; Trypanosomatida; Trypanosomatidae. The record is from RNAcentral.
CUUGCUACCCUACGCUCGCUACUGUUUCCCUCUCUCUCUCGAUCUCUUUUUUUCCGUUCUUGCUUUCAAACACCAGUCAUACACAUAUAGAUAUAUACUAUUAGUGGCCCAUCUCUCCCUUCAUGUGUGUGCCUCUUGUACUCUUGGCGUUGUCGUGUUGUCCUGGUCAGCUUCUAUUACGCACUCUCUCUCUUUUUCGUCGUGUGUGCCAACACCACCGAAGGCGAACAGAGGUGCAAGCAAGGCUGGCGCUGCCCCUUCUUGUUAAGCGUAAACUAACGCAUACGGACACGUACAAGCUGCCCGAAGAAAAAUAGACAGUACGCUGAAGGAAAAAGAGGCGCACACCCCACCACCUCCUCCUCCAACAAGCUGUACGUACACGCGUACACGAGCAAAGGGUGAACAUUAACCAACCGCCAAUCCGUCAAGGGAAACUCUUCAUUGAUCUCAUUUUCUUUCGUCCUUUGAGGCAUCUAUAGGGCGGUGCUUGUGUGCCCCUCUCUUUCUUCUCGCUCCCGCCUCCCCUCGCGCGCCCUUCACAGCAUCGGUGUCUUUCUAGUUCCCUUCUUCUUUUCUUUCACCCCUUCUCCUCCGCCUUUGGCCGUGUCCGUCUCAUUGUGCGCUUAGUUUUGUGGCUCUUUGUACCUCCGUUGGCGUCGCCGUUUCCUUUUUUUUUCGGUUGCUCGCUCCCCCCCACCACCACCACCACCACCGUCCCCUCAACGUCAUCUUGUUCUAUGCGUUGUCGCUAUAUUUUUUGCUCCCUUUCUCUCUUUUUCUUUUUACUGCUUCACUGAAGCUCUUGUACGAACCGAGUACCUCAGCCUCUUAUCUUGUUUGCAUUGUGGUCCUCUCUUCCUCCCUCUCUCCCUCCCUCGCCCCGUGUUUUUUCUUUCGCCGUCCCUCUUCCUCUACUGUGUGUGUGCGCGCGUGGGUAGGUGUAGGUCUGUGUCCCAUUUUCGCUUUCUUUGCGAUUCUAGUGUUUACUUCUACGGUUGGUUUGGGUCCUCCGCCUGUUUCUGUGGAACUCCGCAAUUACGCCGCCGCCGCCGCCCACCCUCUCACCACCCCAUUCUCUCACAGCCUCAGCGGUUUCGGCUUCCCUUUUUUUUCUACCAAAAGGGGUCGACAAGGGAAAACGAAACUCCAGCCCAGGAGGGUAGCAGGAAAACAAACAAAAAGCGUGACGCAUCGGGCACGCACGCACAAGGAAAACAAAAAGGGAACCUGUCGUUUCGUUACCGCUGCAGCGCCAACACCAUUUUUUUUUUCGUUCUUCUCUCCUUUUGUGUGUCUGGCCUGCCCACCCCCUCCCCAACGGUACAGCCAGACGCACUCACGCCGACACAGGAUCGACGAACAAGGAGGAAGAAGGCAACGCUCGAUUUUUUCUCCUGUCAUCUCGACCCUCGCUGCGGCUGUUGUCUCCUUGCUCUUCAUUCUCCGUCUUUGAUAUCACUUUCGGCCUCUUCGGAGGGGAGUCCUUCUUCCCUUCCUUAUACUUUAACGCCUGUCGCCUUUCGCACCUUUGAGACGUUGCUGCUCCAGCUUCUGGUCUGAUUUGUUUUUUUUUUCGCUGUUGUGCAUCGUUCCCCUUCAUCCCUCUUUUCGACUCGUACAUCUUCCUGCUUUGUGGGCUCGCUUGCUCGUGCAGAGCCCUUCUUUUGCAAAUAAAGACGAUGAGCAAGCCGUUGAACGCGCUGGUGGUCUGUGGACCCUCUGGAGUAGGCAAGGGAACCCUGCUGGGCCGCCUCCUCCGCGAGUACCCCAACCGCUUUGCCUACUCGGUGUCGCACACAACACGUCAACCGCGCCAGGGAGAGGUGAAUGGCCGCGAGUACCACUUCACCGACCGCGAGAGCAUCCUCAAGAUGCGCGACAAUAACGAGUUCCUCGAGCUGUGCGACGUGCACGGCAACUUCUACGGCACGAGCGUUGCCGCCGUGCACGCUGUGCAGAAAGAGGGGAAGGUGUGCGUCAUCGAGAUUGAUGUGAAGGGGGCACAGAAACUGUUCAACCGUAACGAUAAUGCGCUGAACGCUGUGUACUUCUUUAUCACGGCCCCCAGAGAGGAGCUGCGCAAGCGUAUCAUGAAGCGUGGCGCCGAUGACGAGACGAUGCUGCAGCGGCGUCUAGAGACGGCCGAGUUAGAAUACAAGUUCGUCGAUGAGAAUCCCGACUUCUUCUCUGUGCUGCUGGUAAAUGAUGAGCUAGAGGCAGCGUACGCCGCCCUCUUGGCCGCCAUCGACGACCAGCUGGUGAAGCACAACAUGGAGAAGCUGGCUGCAUAGACGUAGGGUACUUGGCGAGCAACCGUGUAGUGUGUGUCAGCCUUAUGGACAAGGUGGUAGCGCGUCCCUCAGUUGGAAUAACGUCGUGGAGUACAAGAGUAAGAGAAGAAGCAGGCAAAAGUGAAGCGAGCAACGGAGCAGUGCGCAAGCAACACUCGAAGAAGAUGUUACGUCGGGGCUCGCUUAUGGGGUACCAUGGAGUCGUAAGAUGAAGGCCGAAUCCCGUCCCCUCACACGACGACGAGAAGCGCUGGUGGUGCAGGGGGAAGUACGCACGUAAUAAUACGCAAGACGGCUGUAUAUCUCCCUCUAAGAGAAGAUCCAAUCGAAGAAGACACCCGAGAAGAAGCGUUGGUGUCUGAGACACCUCAUGCUAGUGGAACGCUCCUACUCUCCUACCCCCUCUCGCGUCCCUCAAUCGGUGCCUACGAUGGACGUCAUGCGCUGCCGCUUCUGCGAUUGAUGGGCGCCAGGCAGCGGUGCCUAACAAGGAGGGAGAAAGGGACUGGACUGUACACAUGGUCGGUGUGGUGAAAUUAAAGUCAUUGUGUUAUCAUUGUCACACUUAUGAUCCUUUGUUUUAUUUUUUUUUUGCUAGUGUGUGUUGUGUUACCUCUUUUUCGUGAGGAGGGGAGGGGGCAGGAAGAGAAAGAGGAGGAGGUAAGGUACCACUCCGCGUGCUUCUCCCCUCGUUGUUGUUGCUGUCUUGUUUGUUUUACUUCUUUUUCGAGCUGCUGUCGCGAGGGACUUCAAGACGCCUCUCAUAAUGUUCUCUCUCUCCCUUCUUUCGUUCCUUUACCCAUUUUUGUUUUGUGCACCCCCCCACCCACACCUUUUUUCUUUCGGUUAUCAUGUGGCUGCUCCUGUGUGUGCCGAUGUUUGUUACUCGCUGGAUGUCGCACUGAAAUGUGUCUGGAUGUCGUCCAUCACGCCCUCAUAGUGUUCCCCUCUCCCUUCCUCGUUUAAGUUGCAUAUAGCUCUUGAUCUCACUAGCUCGGCAGUGUGCAUGCAGUACCCCUCUAAAGAGGUACGUGAAACCCACAUCAAAGGGGUGCAGGACUUGUUAGUGUUAUGCGGCCUUCGCGAGUUGAGCUGGGGGAGUGCGAAGUAUGUUAGAGAGACGCACGGCCGACGCCAUGGCCUGAUUGCGCCACGGACGCACGCCAUGCCGGCUGGCUGCUCGUUGAUAUCGCCCUCGCCUCUUUCCUUUCCUUUGUGUGUGUGUGUGUGUCUUCCUCUACUGUGUUCGUAGGCUAAACGCGUAUCUGGCACUGUGGAAGGGAGGGGACGCGAGGGGUAGGCCUCACCACUUAGCCAUGGGUGUCCUAUAUCUGUGGCCACGCAUACAUGUGUGCGGGUGCUCCCCUCUACGCUGUUUGGGAGGGGGAGCAGGCCAUCGAUAAAGUCAACAGGUAUGUGAUCUGCGGGACCUAUCGGAUCAGAAACGCGAGAAGCAUACACAUCCUCGCACGCGCGUCUGCAGAGCACAUGCGUCAGUGAACUGUGCCGAUGUCGCUGCUCACAUGAAAGCGCCUCUGUUCUCUCCCUCUCUCUGCUUUGUUCUUUCGGUUUGUGUAUUGGCGAGGCAGACGGACGGGCCAACAGUAGAGAAGAGGCGAGGAACGAAGGGGCACAUGCGGAAGAGGAGGCGAAUCCCAGAGUGUGCGCGAAGGCGCAGGAAAAAGCGGCUGCAUUCUUUUCGGUAUCGCCACGCUGUCCAUCUCAUCCUCGCCUAUCUCGUGAUACUCGCCGUUUUGUUCGCUUCGCACCUCUCUUCUAUCCUUCCCCUCCUCCACCCUUGUGCGCGCAUAUCACGCUCUUCGAUUUCUUUGUGGUGCUCCUCGUGAGCUCUUACGGGUGUUUUUUCGCUUGUCUAUUUCUUCUCUUUAGUGCCUCUUGCUUCGCCCCCCCCCGCCGCUGGAACAUCAACGCCGUGAGCUCAGUACGCGCACGCACACGCAUGUGUCUGUGCGCCUCUUCUCAAUGCGAGUGUGGCCCAUCUGAGUGCCAAACCUCUUUGCUGUGCAUCAUGUCAGGAGCAAUGUGCAGCCCGGGGGAAGGAAAGGAGCCGAAGGCGAAGAAAUAAAAUGCCCACGGUAUACUGCGCUGUGUUG